ACGCUGGCGGCAGGCCUAACACAUGCGUGUCGAGCGGUAGGGAGAAGCUUGCUUCUCUUGAGAGCGGCGGACGGGUGAGUAAUGCCUAGGAAUCUGCCUGGUAGUGGGGGAUAACGUUCGGAAACGGACGCUAAUACCGCAUACGUCCUACGGGAGAAAGCAGGGGACCUUCGGGCCUUGCGCUAUCAGAUGAGCCUAGGUCGGAUUAGCUAGUUGGUGAGGUAAUGGCUCACCAAGGCGACGAUCCGUAACUGGUCUGAGAGGAUGAUCAGUCACACUGGAACUGAGACACGGUCCAGACUCCUACGGGAGGCAGCAGUGGGGAAUAUUGGACAAUGGGCGAAAGCCUGAUCCAGCCAUGCCGCGUGUGUGAAGAAGGUCUUCGGAUUGUAAAGCACUUUAAGUUGGGAGGAAGGGUUGUAGAUUAAUACUCUGCAAUUUUGACGUUACCGACAGAAUAAGCACCGGCUAACUCUGUGCCAGCAGCCGCGGUAAUACAGAGGGUGCAAGCGUUAAUCGGAAUUACUGGGCGUAAAGCGCGCGUAGGUGGUUUGUUAAGUUGGAUGUGAAAUCCCCGGGCUCAACCUGGGAACUGCAUUCAAAACUGACUGACUAGAGUAUGGUAGAGGGUGGUGGAAUUUCCUGUGUAGCGGUGAAAUGCGUAGAUAUAGGAAGGAACACCAGUGGCGAAGGCGACCACCUGGACUAAUACUGACACUGAGGUGCGAAAGCGUGGGGAGCAAAC
This 745-nucleotide ribosomal RNA is filed under the name uncultured bacterium. Its description in RNAcentral is "bacterial SSU rRNA". It matches the Rfam family "Bacterial small subunit ribosomal RNA", at positions 33 to 773 of the family's 1533-position model. The record is from RNAcentral.